This is a long non-coding RNA of Mus musculus (house mouse), 432 nucleotides long. RefSeq annotates it as predicted gene, 42298. Lineage: Eukaryota; Metazoa; Chordata; Mammalia; Rodentia; Muridae. The transcript is spliced from 3 exons. The record is from RefSeq and is a predicted model, not a curated record.
AAGCAAUAAAGCUUUUGCCGCGGAAGAUUCUGAGCAUCUGGAGUGAGCAAGAAGUGCAAAGAGGGGAAGAAGAAAGGUCCACAAUGAGGAGGUAUGGAAUGAAUUAUACUAUCAAGGAGCUAGAAGGUACAUACAUGUGCAAAGAUGUGGAAUACAGAAAGAAGAUAACCUCUGGUGCUAUCUUCAGAAAGGCCAUCGACCUCCUUUAAGACAGAAUCUUUCAUUGCUCUGAAGUUGCUAACUAGAUAUGGUUGACUUGCCAGUGAACCCCAGGGAUCUAUUUGUUGGGCAUUCCCAGUGCUGGAAUUACAAGAACAGGCUCUUAUGCCUAGUAUUAUUACAUAAGUUCUAAAUAGUGAAUUCAGGUCCAAAUGUUUGUGAAUCAACCAUUUUAUCAACUGUGCUAUAUCCUCAGUCUCUUAACUUUUACAG